Molecule: ribosomal RNA, 446 nt
Filed under: uncultured bacterium
Lineage: Bacteria
Description: partial 16S ribosomal RNA
Rfam family: Bacterial small subunit ribosomal RNA
Source: RNAcentral
CCUACGGGUGGCAGCAGUCGAGAAUCAUUCACAAUGGGGGAAACCCUGAUGGUGCGACGCCGCGUGGGGGAAUGAAGGUCUUCGGAUUGUAAACCCCUUUCAUGUGGGAGCAAAUUAAAAAGAUAGUACCACAAGAGGAAGAGACGACUAACUCUGUGCCAGCAGCCGCGGUAAUACAGAGGUCUCAAGCGUUGUUCGGAAUCACUGGGCGUAAAGCGUGCGUAGGCUGUUUCGUCAAUCGUGUGUGAAAGGCGCGGGCUCAACCCGCGGACGGCACAUGAUACUGCGAGACGAGAGUAAGGGAGGGGGAACCGGAAUUCUCGGUGUAGGAGUGAAAUGCGUAGAGAUAGAGAGGAACACUCGUGGCGAAGGCGGGUUCCUGGACAUUAACUGACGCUGAGGCACGAAGGCCAGGGGAGCGAAAGGGAUUAGAUACACGAGUAGUC